RNAcentral lists this ribosomal RNA (514 nucleotides) under uncultured bacterium. Its description in RNAcentral is "bacterial SSU rRNA". It matches the Rfam family "Bacterial small subunit ribosomal RNA", at positions 28 to 533 of the family's 1533-position model. The record is from RNAcentral.
GAUGAACGCUAGCGGGAGGCUUAACACAUGCAAGUCGAGGGGCAGCAUAGGGUAGCAAUACUCUGAUGGCGACCGGCAAACGGGUGAGUAACGCGUAUGCAACCUACCCUGUACAGGGGGAUAACCCGGAGAAAUUCGGACUAAUAUCCCGUAAUAAUAUCCGGAGGCAUCUUUGGAUAUUUAAAGUUCCGACGGUACGGGAUGGGCAUGCGUAACAUUAGCUGGUUGGUAAGGUAACGGCUUACCAAGGCUAUGAUGUUUAGGGGUCCUGAGAGGGUGGUCCCCCAACUGGUACUGAGACACGGACCAGACUCCUACGGGAGGCAGCAGUGAGGAAUAUUGGUCAAUGGGCGCAAGCCUGAACCAGCCAUCCCGCGUGCAGGAAGACGGCCCUAUGGGUUGUAAACUGCUUUUCCAGGGAGAGAAACUUACGCACGUGUUGCGUGACUGACGGUACCUGUAGAAGAAGCCCCGGCUAACUUCGUGCCAGCAGCCGCCGGUAAGCACGAGAGUA